Molecule: ribosomal RNA, 164 nt
Filed under: uncultured bacterium
Lineage: Bacteria
Description: partial 16S rRNA
Rfam family: Bacterial small subunit ribosomal RNA
Source: RNAcentral
UAGGGAAUCUUCGGCAAUGGGGGCAACCCUGACCGAGCAACGCCGCGUGAGUGAAGAAGAUUUUCGGAUCGUAAAGCUCUGUUGUAAGAGAAGAACGUGUGUGAGAGUGGAAAGUUCACACAGUGACGGUAACUUACCAGAAAGGGACGGCUAACUACGUGCAG